This 71-nucleotide transfer RNA is filed under the name Camelus bactrianus (Bactrian camel). It matches the Rfam family "tRNA". From Rfam's summary of the family: Transfer RNA (tRNA) molecules are approximately 80 nucleotides in length. Their secondary structure includes four short double-helical elements and three loops (D, anti-codon, and T loops). RNAcentral also lists the same sequence under 3 other names. The record is from Rfam by way of RNAcentral. Lineage: Eukaryota; Metazoa; Chordata; Mammalia; Artiodactyla; Camelidae.
GUGGGUGUAGCUCAGUGGUAGAGCGCAUGCUUAGCAUGCAAGAGGUCCUGGGUUCAUCUCCAGUACCUCCA